AGUGAUGAUAGAGGAGCAGGUGUCAAGAGUAGCCUUUUUGAGAGUGUAGUAACUCAGUGAAAGAAGGUGAAAGGGGAAACUGCCGAAGUGAUGAAGGAACUACGACUUCAUUGCUGGUUCUGUAUUGAAUAAAUGCAGAAUUGUCAGAGUGUACACUCUGGAGGGCUAUCUCACAU
Molecule: non-coding RNA, 176 nt
Filed under: Kurthia sp. 11kri321
Lineage: Bacteria; Bacillati; Bacillota; Bacilli; Caryophanales; Caryophanaceae
Also listed under: 1 other name
Description: Lysine riboswitch aptamer
Rfam family: Lysine riboswitch aptamer
About the family: Riboswitches are metabolite binding domains within certain messenger RNAs that serve as precision sensors for their corresponding targets. Allosteric rearrangement of mRNA structure is mediated by ligand binding, and this results in modulation of gene expression. This family includes riboswitches that sense lysine in a number of genes involved in lysine metabolism, including lysC.
Source: Rfam by way of RNAcentral